GGCAGACGGGUGAGUAAUACAUAGGAAUCUACCUCUUGGUGGGGAAUAUCUCGCCGAAAGGCGGGGUAAUACCGCAUGAAAUCUUCGGAUCAAAGACCUUAACCGGUCGCCGAGAGAAGAGCCUGUGUCCCAUCACCUAGUUGGUAAGGUAAUGGCUUACCAAGGCUACCACGGGUAGGGGAUGUGAGAACAUGAUCCCCCACCAGGACACUGAGAUACGGGUCCUACACCUACGGGUGGCAGCAACUGGGAAUCUUGCGCAAUGGACGAAAGUCUGACGCAGCGACGCCGCGUGUGGGAAGAAGCCUUCGGGUCGUAAACCACUGUGGAAGGGGAAUAACAAAUGAAGGUACCCCUCUAAAAAGCACCUGCUAACUACGUGCCAGAAGCCUCGGUAAUACGUAAGGGUGCAAGCGUUAUCCGGAUUUACUGGGGCGUUAAACCUUCUUGUUAGGCCGUUUUGUUAAUUAUGUGGUUAAAAGGCUUCGGCUCCACCGAAAGAAAUGCUGUUUUAUCUACCAGACUAAAUUAAUUGUCCGGAAUUACGGAAUUCUCCGUUGGAAGGGUGAAAUCCCGUUGAUAUCCAAAAAGAACCCCAAGGCGAA
This 605-nucleotide ribosomal RNA is filed under the name uncultured bacterium PHOS-HE71. RNAcentral describes it as "bacterial SSU rRNA". It matches the Rfam family "Bacterial small subunit ribosomal RNA", at positions 97 to 719 of the family's 1533-position model. The record is from RNAcentral.